AGACAUGCAGGGGCCUUUGCCUCCCAAACACCCUCUAGGCAGAAAAUUCCAGGUCCUGGCUGAGCAACUUCAAGGAUUAUCUCUGCAAUCUCAUCAGGAGCCACAUCCCUCCAGCAGCCAUUUUUAUUUUUCUUAUUAUGUCAGCAGUGCUGGGGAUCCUCUGCUGCCUCACGUAAGCUUCUGGAAGAGGAGGGAAGGGAGGG
RNAcentral lists this long non-coding RNA (203 nucleotides) under Bos indicus x Bos taurus (hybrid cattle). RNAcentral describes it as "lncRNA (ENSBIXG00005011541.1)". The record is from RNAcentral. Lineage: Eukaryota; Metazoa; Chordata; Mammalia; Artiodactyla; Bovidae.